RNAcentral lists this ribosomal RNA (497 nucleotides) under uncultured bacterium. RNAcentral's name for it is "partial 16S ribosomal RNA". It matches the Rfam family "Bacterial small subunit ribosomal RNA", at positions 28 to 507 of the family's 1533-position model. The record is from RNAcentral.
GAUGAACGCUGGCGGCGUGCCUAAUACAUGCCAGUCGAGCGAACAGACGAGGAGCUUGCUCCUCUGACGUUAGCGGCGGACGGGUGAGUAACACGUGGAUAACCUACCUAUAAGACUGGGAUAACUUCGGGAAACCGGAGCUAAUACCGGAUAAUAUAUUGAACCGCAUGGUUCAAUAGUCAAAGACGGUUUUGCUGUCACUUAUAGAUGGAUCCGCGCCGCAUUAGCUAGUUGGUAAGGUAACGGCUUACCAAGGCAACGAUGCGUAGCCGACCUGAGAGGGUGAUCGGCCACACUGGAACUGAGACACGGUCCAGACUCCUACGGGAGGCAGCAGUAGGGAAUCUUCCGCAAUGGGCGAAAGCUUGACGGAGCAACGCCGCGUGAGUGAUGAAGGUCUUCGGAUCGUAAAACUCUGUUAUUAGGGAAGAACAAAUGUGUAAGUAACUAUGCACGUCUUGACGGUACCUAAUCAGAAAGCCACGGCUAACUACGUG